CCCCCACAUUUUUCUCCUAAUUACAUGUAUUAUUGCUUUCGUUCAUUUUUAACUUUUGAUUUUUGGGAUCUACCCCCUUUUCUUUUAAGAAAAGAAUAUGUUUUGCUAAAAGCCCGAUUCCAUUCAAUGAGCCUACGACGUUUUCUUUCUCUGCUGUUUUCCAUAUGUAUUAUAUUUCGACAUUUCUUAGCAGUGUGUAGGUUAAUGAAUAAUGAAUAGUUACUCUGAAUAUCGUUAAUAGAAAGAAUGCCUUAAACCACAAGUCAAGUUCUUCUGGUUUCUUCUGGUUUAGUAUAUUUGCACUUGAUGGCGCAAUAGGACGCUUGCAUGUACAACCAACAGGUUCCCAGAAGGGGAAGCAUAUAUAGGAAAGACAAGAGAGCAAUGAUUGAGUGAGCGAUUUCCUUGGCAGCAUAUUCAUUGUGGUGGGGAUUUCGGAGUGGCCCUUCCUCUUGCUUAAUUUUCCUUACCUUUUGAAAGGAUUUGAGGCAUUGGGGUAUAUGAUAUUUUUUAUUGACUUCGAGGCAUAAAGAUACAGGAAGGGAAUCCUGUUCACACCUGUUCGAAGCCACCUUCAAGGCUAGUCUUCGUCUUCCCAUGCCUCACUAGGUGCGGGAUCUUCAAUGGCAAGGCUAUCCUUGAGUAGCUCCUGCCUCAUGAUGGAAGGACUUUGGUCCUUGCAUGGUGUGCUAUGGCCUGUUCGUUUAGGGCUCUUGACAAUUUGAUGGUAUGGCAAUUUCUAUAUUGUUAUAGGCCAACAGAACCCUAUACUGAUGGUCGUGGUUUGCUGCGUGGGAUGAUGCUCAAGCCUUUGUCUGGGUUGUCUUUCACCCUUCCUUGGGGUGUAGAUCUUGCUUUGUCCCAUGAGUCAAGGAGACGGACGAAUAGUUUGUAGCUUUGGAAAUACCAACACUGAGCAAGGAAGAGCUUGGCAGGGUUGGCUUCAUUCUUUGCAUUUUGAGGGAAGAUAUGUCUACCUUGGUGGUGGGUGAGAACCUCUAGAGGUUACUUCCUCCCGUCCAAUUCUUGGGCAGAAGAGGUAUGUGGUGAUCGGUUUCUUCAAUGCUGGGGAUGGUUAUCCUUCUAGUUAGACUAAUAUUUGCUUAUAUAAGGUCUGACCCUGAAGGCUAUGUACAAUCCACUUCAAGGGCAUAAAAGGUACAGGAGUAAGGGAGCUCUCCCAGGGCUCCUUUGGAGGGGGUGGCCUCAGUUAGAGGCAUUAAGGCCUCUGUAGGAGCAGGGCACCAUGGAUGGGAGAGAGUGAUGCUUGAGUGAGAUAUUUUGCUUGGUGUGUUACUGUGUUUUAAAUACUUGGUUGCUCGUGAGUCUGUGAGCCUAGUUGCUUAUAUUAGGGGUAGAACUCUACCUUUUCUGAGAGGAGAAUGGUUGAUCAUUAAGUUGUUUGUCAUGUCUUAAUUACUUUAAGACAGAAUUUAUUUAUGGCCUAGGCAACAGGUUUCGCAUUUUGCACUUUUUGUUUGCAUUAGUGGAGAAGCUCAGGGACAUUGGAAGAUGAACCUAGAUUCAUGUUAAAUGAUUCCUUGGGGACUGAUCACAUCCCUUCGUCUUUGGGAGGGAAUCCGAGAGGUCCAUAGCUGAACCAUCAUCAGGGCCCUCCUAGCACUAUCUUCAGUUGGGUUUGAAUUUAAUGAUGUUUUUUUUUUUUUUUUUUUUUUUUGGACAGAGGCUAGCCUGGACAAAAUUGGGUAUAUCAGAAUUCAUUGUAUUUUUAUAUGACCAUGCAUCCUCUGGAGGAUAUCCUUAUCUUCCUUAACUCAAGUGAAAAA
Molecule: long non-coding RNA, 1787 nt
Organism: Juglans microcarpa x Juglans regia
Lineage: Eukaryota; Viridiplantae; Streptophyta; Magnoliopsida; Fagales; Juglandaceae
Exons: 3
Source: RefSeq, a predicted model, not a curated record